GACGAACGCUGGCGGCGUGCCUAAUACAUGCAAGUCGAACGCAGUGGGGACGGGUUAGUAACACGUGGGUAACCUCCCAUCAGAGGGGAUAACACUUGGAAACAGCUGCUAACGUGAUACUGAUGGAUGGACCCGCGGUGGAUUAGCUAGUUGGUGAGGUAACGGCCCACCCAGGCCACGAUGCAUAGCCUGCCUUGUGGGGUGGACGGCCACCCCGGGACUGGGACACGGCCCAGACUCCUACGGGAGGGAGCAGUAGGGAAUCUUUGGCAAUGGACGGAAAUCUGACCGAGCAACGCCGCGUGAUGUAAGAAGGUUUUCCGGUCGUAAAGCUCUGUUGUUAGGGAAGCGGUAACUAACCAGAAAGGGACGGCUAACUACGUGCCAGCAGCCGCGGUAAUAC
Molecule: ribosomal RNA, 403 nt
Filed under: uncultured bacterium
Lineage: Bacteria
Description: partial 16S ribosomal RNA
Rfam family: Bacterial small subunit ribosomal RNA
Source: RNAcentral